GCUUCGCUAUCUUAUUCAAAAUAGAAAUUCUUGAAAACACACACACAUACUGACACUCCGUCUGUUACGAUGACGACGGUCCCACUUGAUCCGAUCAACGGAACAGCCUGCUCAUAAAAAUCAACGCGCAAGUGGCUGAGUACUCCAUAGAUAUGUGUACCCUUAACGUAGUCCUCGGGGAGAUUCAGCGUGACACAGAAUGUGACAAAGCUGACCCUUUGAAUUACAGGUAUAACUCAUUUUUUGCCAAAGGUUUGCUAGUCCACACCCAUCAGAAACGGAUUAUAGUUUUAGGAUACAGAAAAAGAAAGAAGAAAAAAAACGAGACAAAUGAAAAAAGCGCCCACCCUCAUACUGUAAAAUAUCAGCAGUGAUAAAGGGAGAGAGACAUGAUGGAUAAAAAGUUAUAAAAAUAAUUUAUCAAACAAACCUAACCCAGUUAUCGAUCGGGGAUUGAAAUGACUCGAUCUAACAUUCCCUCCUUUUUUACCUCUCAUCGCGAAGAAAAGAAGUUCAAGUGGAAUAUCUUUGUGUUCUAAGACACAGUAAUCCCUAAAGAUCCCUUCAGAUUUUCGCAACGUUAACAUUCACUACUCAGGUGUGUAGACAUGUUUAAACAUAUACACCAAAUAUAUACAAUAGCCAACACGGAUGUAAUCAGCCCACACACACAUACACACACACAUUCAGAAGGAGAGAGAGAGAGGGGAAUAAAUAUUAGUUUUUGAAGUUGAAUAACUUUGAUUUGGGAUGGAGAGAACAAAUAUUACAUAUCGAUGGCUAAAAUAGAUAUUUCAAUAAGAUUAAAAAAAAAAAACGGGACCUAAUGAGGGAAGGAGAAAACAUGAUUUUUUUUUAAAGUUGAAAAUAAAAAUAAAAAAAACUAUGGAUGUUGUUGAAAAA
This is a long non-coding RNA of Octopus sinensis (East Asian common octopus), 903 nucleotides long. RefSeq lists it as uncharacterized. The record is from RefSeq and is a predicted model, not a curated record. Lineage: Eukaryota; Metazoa; Mollusca; Cephalopoda; Octopoda; Octopodidae. The transcript has 2 exons.